Molecule: transfer RNA, 72 nt
Filed under: Loxodonta africana (African savanna elephant)
Lineage: Eukaryota; Metazoa; Chordata; Mammalia; Proboscidea; Elephantidae
Rfam family: tRNA
About the family: Transfer RNA (tRNA) molecules are approximately 80 nucleotides in length.
Source: Rfam by way of RNAcentral
GCCAUGGUGGCUCAAUGGUUGAGCACUGGGCAGCUAACCAAAAAGUUGAUGGUUGCAGUCCACCCAGUGGCU